GCCAGUAAUGGAAAACUUGUUACUUUUUGAUGAAUUAGCUCCAGAUCUUGCCAGAAGGACAGUUGUUUUCACUGUCCACAAAAUCUGUGCAAAGCAGUCAGGAGAACUGCAAGCUGUCAGAAUAAGCCCUCUCAAAAUGAACUGCUUCAUGGCAUGCUAGAUUUUCUGCAAAGCCGGAAACAUGUCUGUUGCUUUCGAUGUGUUGGAUUUGUUACACAUCUUCCUCAGAAAGUUCCUGACCUUAAACACAUGGAAAAAGAUGGAAGUGUUUUUGCUGGCUUCAGUGGACCUUGGUUGAGCCAAAAGUCUUAAAUGCAGAAUACUUCAGUGGAAAUGAGAUAUUAUGUUUGCAGCUGAACUUCUGUCAGCCCAAAGACCCAUGCCUCAAAAGAUUUAUUCAGGGACUUCCUUGUUUACUAGUACUACUAGUUCACCAGUUCUUCCCAUUUUUUCCCUUUAAAUGAAUGUGUUCCAAAAGCAACCCCUGCCACCUAAUAUUGGGAUUGCUUUCAGCUUGAAUGAAAAUAUUUUGGUCUCAGAUUCACAUACCUUAGUUAAAAAGCAAAUCAUUUCAUCUUAUUAAUGCCACCAGUCCGACAGAUAUUUCACAUGAAGACUUCUGAAGAAUCUAGUUCUCCAGCAGUUGUACAGUUUGAGCAAGUAUCUGGAUACUUCCUUAGAUGACAUGGGUUUGUGCAUCAGCAGUAGCAAAGGAAACAGCAGGUAUCUGGGGACCUGUACCUUAUUUCUGUUUACAGUCAUAAGGGUAGAAAUGGAAAAAUUUUAGAAAUGGAAAAAUUUGUGCAUCUUAUGUCUUUUUUAUUUUUCCCCCAAAAAUCUGUCCUCAUAUAUUUUGUUGUAGAGCUGUGCUGUGCUUGGAGAUUAAAAACAGAGCUUCAUUGCA
This is a long non-coding RNA of Corvus hawaiiensis (hawaiian crow), 904 nucleotides long. RefSeq lists it as uncharacterized. NCBI's taxonomy places the organism in Eukaryota, Metazoa, Chordata, Aves, Passeriformes, Corvidae. The transcript has 2 exons. The record is from RefSeq and is a predicted model, not a curated record.